Molecule: long non-coding RNA, 524 nt
Organism: Octopus bimaculoides (California two-spot octopus)
Lineage: Eukaryota; Metazoa; Mollusca; Cephalopoda; Octopoda; Octopodidae
Source: RefSeq, a predicted model, not a curated record
UUCGUCUUCCCAACAUUCAAUGCGUCAGUCAACACCAACUGGACAUAUAAACAGCAAUGUUUGUAAGCUAUAUAGCAAUGAAAUAUUUAAAUGUGUGAUAGGUUUGUCCAGUGAUGAAAUUGUAAGCAGAAAAGUUGCCCUAGCUGUCUAUGAAUAUUAGCCACUUGGAUGAUAAAGCUGCAAUUCCAGGCAUUAGCGCAGCCAUAAGGCUCCCGACAGAGGCAAAAGAAACAAACGACAUCACGUCUCAGAUAAGCAAACUCUCGUUUCGGGGUAGCAAUCGACUCACUUUUGUGAAACAACACAGUAGACUAGAACAGUAUCAGUUCCAUGAUUGUUAUAAAGAGGUGAUGCUUUGAUUAUAAUAGAGAAACUCUUCCUGCAGUAUCAUUAUAAUACCGCAAGAAGAUAAUUUCUCGAUUCCAUACAGGCUGUUCCAUUUAUUUACAAUGCUCUCAUUGAUGCAAACAUAAUUCUUGUUUUAGCAAAACUGAAAUUAAGGGAAUAAAUCGACAUUUUUAUUU